CAAGCCAAUCAGCGGGCCGGUUUGAAGUUCGACCAUAGUGGGCCAGAGAGAUGUCCCGGAAUGUCUUCAUUUUUUCACGGGCCCGGUCCAGAAGAACUUGAGUGCGCCAGUUCACUUCAGUCGCAGAGGAGAUCCCUUGCACGAGUGCAGAACAGUCGGUAUGUACUUCCAGAGGGAGUUCCGCACGAGUUGCAAGUAGAUCUAGGGUUUCCAACAGAGCUAGAGCUUCCGCCUGUUCCGCUGAAGACGCCUCCACUACUUUCGCAAGUCCAUCCACCAUACAACCUCGGUGAUCCCUGCAUAUGCACGCCACUGCUGCUCUAUUUUGUUGAUUUCCGCUGGUCUCUGUUUCCACGGCAGUUUGCUCAGCGAAAGAGGCGUCUAUAUUUACCUUCAGCUUUAGAGGAGGCGGUGGUAGCCAUCGAUCGGGGACGCCGCUCGAAUAGGAACAAGUUGCGCCCCUUCUAGAUGCACCAUAGAACAGCCACAACUUGUUCGAACUUCUUCGCAUGAAAUUCGGAAUUCCAGAUCUGAGUUGUCCAUGGACAGAGAAGCAGAAGAUGUUCUUCGGUUUCAGUCUCUUUGUUGCAGAUGGGGCAUAUGGGAUCCGGUACGAUCUUUCUUCUAUAUAAGUUUUCCCGUGUAGGAAGAGCAUUCUGGGAAGCUUGCCAGAGAAAAAAUCUAAUUUUUGGGAUAGUUUUUACUUGCCAUAUUUGUUUCCAUAGAUCUGGAUUGGUGUGAUGCGAUGAGGUUGCUGCAUGGCCUAUGCUUGCUGUAUGUUUUCUUACUGUGUGGUAGCCACUUUUCACUGAGUAAAGACCAGAAUUGCUGUGCAUCCAGACAAGUUUAUCU
RNA transcript from Eucalyptus grandis, 852 nucleotides. RefSeq lists it as uncharacterized. The transcript has 3 exons. Lineage: Eukaryota; Viridiplantae; Streptophyta; Magnoliopsida; Myrtales; Myrtaceae. The record is from RefSeq and is a predicted model, not a curated record.